AGGAUGAACGCUAGCGGCGCGCUUAAUGCAUGCAAGUCGAGCGAUGAGACUCCUACGGGAGCACAUCAGCGGCAGACGGGUGAGUAACACGUAGAUGACGUACCCUCAAGACGGGGAUAACGGAUGGAAACAUGCGCUAAUACCGGAUGACCUUACGAUGUCAGAAUGGUAAGGAAAGCUACGGCGCUUGAGGAGCGGUCUGCGGCCCAUCAGCUAGUUGGUAGGGUAAAGGCCUACCAAGGCGAAGACGGGUAGGGGGUGUGAGAGCACGGNCCCCCACAAUGGGACUGAGACACGGCCCAUACUCCUACGGGAGGCAGCAGCAGGGAAUAUUGCACAAUGGACGGAAGUCUGAUGCAGCGACGCCGCGUGAGUGAAGAAGGCCUUCGGGUUGUAAAACUCUUUUGAGGGGGAAGAGCGAGGACGGUACCCCUGGGAAUAAGCGUCGGCUAACUACGUGCCAGCAGCCGCGGUAAGACGUAGGACGCGAGCGUUAUCCGGAUUUACUGGGCGUAAAGCGUCUGUAGGCGGAUGUGUAAGUUGAGCGUGAAAGCUCCGGGCUUAACCCGGAGAGGCCGUUCAAUACUGCAUAACUUGAGGGUGUCAGAGGGGAGCGGAAUUCCCGGUGUAGCGGUAAAAUGCGCAGAGAUCGGGAGGAACACCGUUGGCGGAGGCGGUUCCCUGGGGCACACCUGACGCUGAGAGACGA
RNAcentral lists this ribosomal RNA (709 nucleotides) under uncultured organism. RNAcentral's name for it is "bacterial SSU rRNA". It matches the Rfam family "Bacterial small subunit ribosomal RNA", at positions 26 to 756 of the family's 1533-position model. The record is from RNAcentral.